GCAGUUGCCGGGGUGCUAUACAUGCAAGUAGAACGCUGAAGAGAGGAGCUUGCUCUUCUUGGAUGAGUUGCGAACGGGUGAGUAACGCGUAGGUAACCUGCCUUGUAGCGGGGGAUAACUAUUGGAAACGAUAGCUAAUACCGCAUAACAAUGGAUGACACAUGUCAUUUAUUUGAAAGGGGCAAUUGCUCCACUACAAGAUGGACCUGCGUUGUAUUAGCUAGUAGGUGAGGUAACGGCUCACCUAGGCGACGAUACAUAGCCGACCUGAGAGGGUGAUCGGCCACACUGGGACUGAGACACGGCCCAGACUCCUACGGGAGGCAGCAGUAGGGAAUCUUCGGCAAUGGGGGCAACCCUGACCGAGCAACGCCGCGUGAGUGAAGAAGGUUUUCGGAUCGUAAAGCUCUGUUGUAAGUCAAGAACGAGUGUGAGAGUGGAAAGUUCACACUGUGACGGUAGCUUACCAGAAAGGGACGGCUAACUACGUGCCAGCAGCCGCGGUAAUACGUAGGUCCCGAGCGUUGUCCGGAUUUAUUGGGCGUAAAGCGAGCGCAGGCGGUUUGAUAAGUCUGAAGUUAAAGGCUGUGGCUCAACCAUAGUUCGCUUUGGAAACUGUCAAACUUGAGUGCAGAAGGGGAGAGUGGAAUUCCAUGUGUAGCGGUGAAAUGCGUAGAUAUAUGGAGGAACACCGGUGGCGAAAGCGGCUCUCUGGUCUGUAACUGACGCUGAGGCUCGAAAGCGUGGGGAGCGAACAGGAUUAGAUACCCUGGUAGUCCACGCCGUAAACGAUGAGUGCUAGGUGUUGGAUCCUUUCCGGGAUUCAGUGCCGCAGCUAACGCAUUAAGCACUCCGCCUGGGGAGUACGACCGCAAGGUUGAAACUCAAAGGAAUUGACGGGGGCCCGCACAAGCGGUGGAGCAUGUGGUUUAAUUCGAAGCAACGCGAAGAACCUUACCAGGUCUUGACAUCCCGAUGCUAUUUCUAGAGAUAGAAAGUUACUUCGGUACAUCGGUGACAGGUGGUGCAUGGUUGUCGUCAGCUCGUGUCGUGAGAUGUUGGGUUAAGUCCCGCAACGAGCGCAACCCCUAUUGUUAGUUGCCAUCAUUCAGUUGGGCACUCUAGCGAGACUGCCGGUAAUAAACCGGAGGAAGGUGGGGAUGACGUCAAAUCAUCAUGCCCCUUAUGACCUGGGCUACACACGUGCUACAAUGGUUGGUACAACGAGUUGCGAGUCGGUGACGGCAAGCUAAUCUCUUAAAGCCAAUCUCAGUUCGGAUUGUAGGCUGCAACUCGCCUACAUGAAGUCGGAAUCGCUAGUAAUCGCGGAUCAGCACGCCGCGGUGAAUACGUUCCCGGGCCUUGUACACACCGCCCGUCACACCACGAGAGUUUGUAACACCCGAAGUCGGUGAGGUAACCUUUUGGAGCCAGCCGCUAAGGUGGGAAUAGAAGU
Molecule: ribosomal RNA, 1456 nt
Filed under: Streptococcus salivarius
Lineage: Bacteria; Bacillati; Bacillota; Bacilli; Lactobacillales; Streptococcaceae
Description: bacterial SSU rRNA
Rfam family: Bacterial small subunit ribosomal RNA
Source: RNAcentral